AACGCACCUUGCACCCUUUGGUAUUCCGAAGGGUACGCCCGUUUGAGCAUCAUUGUAUUCUCACCCCCAUGACUUUGUUGUGGAUGGUGGACUUGGACGUCCUGCCGCCUUACCAUGGCUCGUCCCAAAUGUAGGAGUGUGACCCCCCUUGUUUGCGGUGUCAUCCGGUGUGAUAAGCAUCUUCACUGGAGUAUCUCGGGUGGACAGUGUCUGUCUGAGAGCAUCGUUGAGGCGUGGUAAUGCUGCCAACCGUCUUGUAAUGAGACAAACCUUGACUAUUUGAUCUCAAAUCGGGUGGGACUACCCGCUGAACUUAA
RNAcentral lists this unclassified non-coding RNA (317 nucleotides) under uncultured fungus. Its description in RNAcentral is "partial contains 5.8S ribosomal RNA, internal transcribed spacer 2, and large subunit ribosomal RNA". The record is from RNAcentral. Lineage: Eukaryota; Fungi.